ACGGAAUUGUGGGCAGCGUUACCUCGGGAUGGAAGGAAGUUUUUCUCUUUCGGUGAUUGUGCUGCCUGUGUUAACAGGCUUGCCUCUUACUCGUGCCAUAGAUAUAACACUCGUCCUGUAAAGUGUUGUAUUAUUCAAGACUUUAUUUGGGAACGAGAAAGAAAUUGUGUAGUUUAUGCGUACUUCAUCUUUCUGCAACUACAAUCAAAUCACCUGCUUCUGGGAUUAGGAAAUAGGAUUUCCUGACUGACAGUUUUAAGUAACCGGCGUUUUAGAAUUUAACUGCUGAACCAAACCUGUUCUAAGAGGAAAAGAGAACUUGGAGGCAAUAGGCUACCCACGUGAAACUACCAAGAUUGUCCAGGCCUGGGACAAAUAACAUGUCAUUAGAACCUUUAUCAUACUGCUCACCAGGGACUCAAAGAAACUUGCAUCAUUCUCCUUUCCUCCAUUUUGUCCUCACAACAAUCCUGUGAGGUAAGUUAGUCAGAGAGCAUAUGACUGUCCCAAGAUCAUUCAGCAAGCCAGCUGGAGCAUGUGAUGAUGGAACAGAAAGAUCCAAAGCCAGAUUACCAAAUUUUUUCUAGAGAUGGAAAAUGAGGAGUUUGAGACAGCACUUAUGAAAGUCACCUUCUGAAUGGCUUCUAGAUUGAAUUUAUUGAAAUUUACUUGUAAGCUCAGAGCUUUCAGGAUGUUUAAGUGAAUGUCUGACAAUAAAUCCUGGGGGCUGUUGCUAAUCUGAAAGAGAGGACUCUUUAUUGUAGGUGUAGGGUGCUGCUUUGAAAACAGAAAUACGUUUGGGAGCUUGCUCUGAUCUUGAUGUGAAAAUAGGAAGGGAGCAGGUCUAGGAUUCAGGCCAGGGCAUGGGACAGAGACAGCACUAAUAGCAUUAGUGGAUGAUCUCCAUCUGAAUAUAGACAAAGGACAUGCCUCUUUAUUGCUUCUCCUGGAUCUAUCUGUAGGCUUUAGCACAGUAGACCAUGCCAUCCUGUUGGGGCAUUUAGAAACAGAAGUGGGCAUCAAAGGAUGUGCCCUGGACUGGUUUAAAUCAUUUCUCAUAGAAUGGACUCAAAGGGUUGCCGUUGGGAGAUCAGCUAUAUCCAGAAUGGGAACUGUCUUGUGGGGGUUCGCAGAGCACAAUCUUAUCUCCCAUGUUAUUCAACCUCUACGUAAAGCAUUUAGGAGAACUCAUUCACAGCUAUGGAGUUGGAUGUCACCAAUAUGCAGAUGACACCCAACUCUGUAUCUCACUAUCUAGGUCCCCCCAGGAUGCAGUAGAAAUCUUAGAUUGCUGCCUGACAGCUGUGGUGAAAUGGUUGAAAAACAACAAAUUGAAAUCGAACCCAGACAAGACUGAAGUGAUGUUUGUUGGGAAGGCAGAGAUCUUGAAGAAUAUUGUACUCCCCACUUUCAGUGGAGUUUGUCUGACCCUUGCAGACUCAGUUAAGAGCCUAGGAGUUAUACUGGAUCCAGUGCUACUACUAGAAAAACAAGUUAAGGCAGCUGCAAAAAAUGCUUUCUACAACCUCAUUCUAGCCUGAAAGAUGGCUUCUUAUCUCGACACGGCCAACCUGGCCACCUGGAUCCACACUAUGGUAACAUCAAGGCUUGACUAUUGUAAUGCACUAUACAUAGGUCUCCCAUCUAAAUUAACUAGGAGGCUGCAACUAGUGCAAAAUGCUGCAGCUUGAUUGUUAUGAAUGAGCAGGAGCAUGAACAUCACUCCCAUCCUACAGUCACUCCAUUGGCUACCUAGCGGUUACCGUGCUCAGUUCAAGGUAUUGGUUAUUACAUACAAAGCUCUUCACAGCCUUGGUCCAGCAUACCUAUGGGACUGCCUCUCUCCCUAUGCUCCUCCGUGGCAGCUUCGCUCAUCUGAACAGGGUCUCCUGCAGGUGCCAGGCUGCACAUGAGCAAAACCAACAGCAGCCCGUACAUGGGCUUUCUCUGUGGUGGCCCCUGCCCUGUGGAACGACCUGCCUGAGGAGGUCAGGAGAGCCCCCAUUCUCUUGGCUUUCUGCUAACAAUACAAAACUGAAUUAUUCAAAAAGGCUUUUUACUCAAAUGGGAGGGCUGUAUUGUAGGGAGGGGCUUCUCAGAUGCUUCGCUAAUGAAUUAGGAACUGUAGACUUCACCACUAUGUUGCUUUACAUGUUAUCUGUUGCUUUAAAUAUGUACUCCUAUGUACUACCUGUGGUUUAUGUUGUCUAAUAUCAGUCCUAGAAUUAAUUAUGUUCUGUUUUAGUAUUUCUUAUACUCUGUAUUGGAUUUUUGCUAAUGCUAUGUCUUUUAAAACUUGUAUCUAUUUACCCUAUGGCAUUGUUUAUGAAAAUGUCCUUGAUACUGUAUGGAAAUGUACUUGAUACUGAUUGUACUAAUCUCAUACUGUGUAAUCCGCCUUGAGUCUCAGUGAGAAAGGCAAACUAUAAAUGACAUAAAUAAAUAAAAUAAGAGUUAAAAACCAGAUGCCCUGGUGUAAUAAAAGGAAAACACCAGAAAUUGA
Molecule: long non-coding RNA, 2503 nt
Organism: Eublepharis macularius
Lineage: Eukaryota; Metazoa; Chordata; Lepidosauria; Squamata; Eublepharidae
Exons: 3
Source: RefSeq, a predicted model, not a curated record